Molecule: RNA transcript, 1404 nt
Organism: Populus euphratica (Euphrates poplar)
Lineage: Eukaryota; Viridiplantae; Streptophyta; Magnoliopsida; Malpighiales; Salicaceae
Exons: 4
Source: RefSeq, a predicted model, not a curated record
GGGGGGUGGGUUUGAAGAAUUUGAACCCAUUUUUGAUGAACCCAGAAUAGAAUGGUCAAAGAAUUCAAAUCUGGGUUCGGGUUUGAUUGCUUCAUGCGUAUAUUUGCUCCUGACUACAACCACCUCAAUAUUCAAGUAACUGAUUACCAUUCCAAUACUUUCGAGGAUGCUAAAUCGGUUAUGCAGCUUGAUGACUUGAGGAAUUGCAUUGGAAUUGGAGGGUCUUUGACUGAGCUUGUUGAGUAACUUGCUUCUUCUUUUAAAUCUGAUGAUGUAAAGCUUGUUCUUGAGAAAUUUCGGAUCCGGAUGGUGAUUCAUGUUGUUGAACUUUAAUGCAUUUUGAUUCUAAUUUUUAAAUAGUAAAUGAAGAUAUAUGGUGAAGUGAAGUGAUUUUUCAGCCAAGCAUUUCUUACAUGCUGCGGAACUUUUUUUUUUUUUUUGUGGUUUGCUUACUCCUGCCCUCCCCUGCUUUACAACAGACAAACUAGCAGGACGAGAUCCUGCCUCAACGAAAGUUACUAAUCGUGUCGUGUCAGCAUUUCACAGGGCAAAAGUGAGGGGUGCCUUACUCCAGGUUACAGAAGAUGACGAAAAUAACUAGAAGUCAAUUUGACAGUUUGUUUCAAUAUGUUUUGGAAUUAAAGAUUUCAGAUUAGAAUUAUGACUCACAUAUAAUAUACCAAGCCAAGAAGUCAGUUUAAAUAUCUUAGGGUUACUGAUCAGGUAACAAAUGGAUGUCAGUUUUGUAUUUCUCUUAAGAAAAUGUGAUGCCUCCAUCAGAUUUGUAACCUACUAUUUGGGGUGUGUGUGUGUGUGUAUUCUUUUAACCUCUUGUUUAUACAAAUGCUGCUAUGGGUUGAUGUGACCUUACACAUCGUCAAUAUGGCCUCUUCUGUUUCCAAGCAUGUGCUGUUAUCCUUUAGGUUAAGAAACAAGACUCUUGAAAUCAGAUGACAUAUCAAAAAGCAUCUAAAGAACUAGAAGGUAGAAGGCCAACCUUCUUGAGUAUAAUCUAUAAUAGGAGUGAUUUUACAUGAAAGAGGGGCUCCUAUCUACAAGACUAUAAAGUAAGUUGUAAGAGAUAAAUUGAUAUCUGCAAAAGGCAAGACUCUGUUCUAAAUAUAUUCUCUGAAGCACCAUCCCAGAAUAAUUUCUCUUGCUUGUGUCAUUUCUUGUUCUACGGCUCAUACUGAUACCAUUGCGAAAAUCUUCAGACGCGUCCUUUGAGUUUAGUACUUUCGCUUUUCUUAGUGCGGAAGAUAGGCCAGCAGCUUGGCAAGGCAUCCAUGUUGUCAUCAUACCUGCACAAUCCCAAUCAUUCAAAUGUUAAAAUUUAAUAGAACCCAAGAAAUACCUGCUUGUGCUGCUGCUCCGGCUGCUGCUCCCACUUUUCCUACCCUCUUU